AGUGAACGCUGGCGGUAGGCCUAACACAUGCAAGUCGAACGGCAGCACAGUAAGAGCUUGCUCUUACGGGUGGCGAGUGGCGGACGGGUGAGGAAUACAUCGGAAUCUACUUUUUCGUGGGGGAUAACGUAGGGAAACUUACGCUAAUACCGCAUACGACCUACGGGUGAAAGCAGGGGAUCUUCGGACCUUGCGCGAUUGAAUGAGCCGAUGUCGGAUUAGCUAGUUGGCGGGGUAAAGGCCCACCAAGGCGACGAUCCGUAGCUGGUCUGAGAGGAUGACUCGCCCCCACAGAACGUGGACACCGCCCCGGCCCCCUCGGGAGGGCGCAGGGGGGGAUUUUGGAAAAGGGGCCGAAGGCUUGACCCGCCCUUCCGGGGGGGGUGAAAAAGCCUUUGGGUUGGAAAGCCCUUUUUGUGGGGAAAAAAAGACGGAAGUUAACACCCCCGCUUUUUGACGGGACCCAAAAAAGAAGCCCCGGCCUACUUUCUU
This 492-nucleotide ribosomal RNA is filed under the name uncultured bacterium. RNAcentral's name for it is "partial 16S ribosomal RNA". It matches the Rfam family "Bacterial small subunit ribosomal RNA", at positions 29 to 507 of the family's 1533-position model. The record is from RNAcentral.